This 474-nucleotide ribosomal RNA is filed under the name uncultured bacterium. RNAcentral describes it as "bacterial SSU rRNA". It matches the Rfam family "Bacterial small subunit ribosomal RNA", at positions 328 to 793 of the family's 1533-position model. The record is from RNAcentral.
UGACAGUACUCCUACGGGGAGCAGCAGUGGGGAAUAUUGCACAAUGGGCGCAAGCCUGAUGCAGCCAUGCCGCGUGUGUGAAGAAGGCCUUCGGGUUGUAAAGCACUUUCAGUCGUGAGGAAGGUGGUAGUGUUAAUAGCACUAUCAUUUGACGUUAGCGACAGAAGAAGCACCGGCUAACUCCGUGCCAGCAGCCGCGGUAAUACGGAGGGUGCGAGCGUUAAUCGGAAUUACUGGGCGUAAAGCGCAUGCAGGUGGUUUGUUAAGUCAGAUGUGAAAGCCCGGGGCUCAACCUCGGAAUAGCAUUUGAAACUGGCAGACUAGAGUACUGUAGAGGGGGGUAGGAAUUUCAGGUGUAGCGGUGAAAUGCGUAGAGAUCUGAAGGAAUACCGGUGGCGAAGGCGGCCCCCUGGACAGAUACUGACACUCAGAUGCGAAAGCGUGGGGAGCAAACAGGAUUAGAUACCCUGGUAG